AAAAGAAACGAUGCUAUAAGUCUGUUUUCUGUGGCCAAACCAGUGUAUACUUUUGAAACUUAAAGUGAAAUAGGUAUAUAUUUGAUAUUUGUCGAAAGCGAGAAAGAGAGUGCAGAAACAGAAAACAGACCAUAUGUAAGCUGACCUUUUGAAAAGAGACGUGCAAACUGUCCUUUUCAGGACAAAUUUUCAACAUAUCUAAUAAAUAAUAAAAUGUUCUUCCUGUUAAAAUACAUUCCCUUUUCAGGAUAUUGCUAUGAUCGAUUGGAGACAGUAUAAACAUUUACAUACAUAUGUGCAACAUAUAAAACAUACAUAGCAAUGUGUCAGUCCAUUCAGCAAAUGGCGCAAGCAAUUGCGUCAAUCAGAACUAUGUUCAAAACAAGUGACGUGGAAAUUUCCAUAUUUCAAUAUUCGCACGAACAUCUCCAAUAGUCAGCAUAUCUCUAUAAAAGUUUACCAUCUGUGACGUUGUAGAAUUUUACACACGCGCCUGCUCCGUAAACUGCGAAUAUGUCUUGAUUGCCAAUCAUCCAUGUUAAUCCCACAAUUGUAUUGUCCACGGAAAUGGUUUGAUGACUGACAUGCUACGUUCAUGUAACACAAUUAUGUAAUGUGAAAGUUAUAUUUAAAAAAUUAAAAUAAUAUAUAAUAAACAUUUUUAUAAAAA
This 670-nucleotide small RNA is filed under the name Atta cephalotes. Its description in RNAcentral is "sRNA LOC105626729". Lineage: Eukaryota; Metazoa; Arthropoda; Insecta; Hymenoptera; Formicidae. The record is from RNAcentral.